RNA transcript from Zingiber officinale, 1924 nucleotides. It is a transcript of the gene named F-box protein At5g07670-like, with no coding region annotated. The transcript is spliced from 3 exons. The record is from RefSeq and is a predicted model, not a curated record. Lineage: Eukaryota; Viridiplantae; Streptophyta; Magnoliopsida; Zingiberales; Zingiberaceae.
CGCCGUUGCCGUUUUCUUUGGCAACUGUGUGCUUUUCUGCGCGAGAGCAGUGUCGAAGAACAAGGGGGCGAAGCACGAUGCGGCGGAGAAGCAUCGCUUGGCCGCCGCUGGGGAGCCUUGGAUGCGCCGCCGCCGCCGCCUGAGGAGCUGGUUCGCUGCCGAUAAGACCGUCAAGCAUGCGGUGCUUGAGAUGCAGCUCGAUGGCCAAAUCUCGACGCUGAAAGCUCCCCAGGUUGGGGACGCGCCAGAUCCCACCGCGAUCCUCUCCGACGAGAUCCUCCUCCGCGUCCUCGCCGCGCUCCCUGACUCAGUUCGCCUGUCUGUCUCCCUCGUUUGCCGGCGAUGGCUACGCCUCGCCGGCCGCCUCCGCCGCUCCCUCACCGUACUCGACUGGUCCUUCCUUCACCGUCGCCGCCUUCCCCUUCGCUUUCCCAACCUCGACGACCUCGACCUCGUUCCCGCCUCCUUCGCGACCCCUUCGGAUGCUGACGCCGGCGUCGUUCUCUCGAAGGGCGCCGUUUCCUUCUCUGUCGAUGCCGGCGCAGACCCUCCCGUGGGCGAGUGCCGCUUCCUCGAGCCGGAUGUCAUCGAUCGUGGUCUCGUUAUUGUUGCCAGCGACUGCCCUGGUCUUCGGAAAUUGUCCCUCGUUGCCCUCGCUUCGGAGGUCGGUGUCAGGGCGGUCGCCGAAGCGUGCGACAUUCUGCAGGAACUGGAACUCCAUCGCUGCUCCGAUCUCGCUCUCCGUCCCAUCUCCGCUUUCAAGAACCUCCAGAUACUGCGGAUAGUGGGAGCCGUUGAGGGGUUCUACUCAGGUCCCGGUGUCGCGGACAUUGGACUCACAAUGCUGGCCCAUGGAUGCAAGCGACUGGUGAAGCUGGAGCUUGCUGGUUGUGAGGGUAGCUACGACGGCAUCUCAGCGGUGGGGCAGUGCUGCGAGAUGCUUGAGGAAUUGACGAUAUCAAACCACCGGAUGGAUGCAGGAUGGAUAGCUGCAUUGUCCUUCUGUGAAAACCUGAAGAAAUUGAGAUUGCAGAGCUGCAGGAGGAUAGACGCUGACCCAGGGCCAUUGGAACACUUAGGAAGGUGCCCCAGCAUCCAGACACUUCAAAUGGAGCAGUGCCAGCUGCGUGAUAAAAGAAGCUUGGAAGCAUUGUUUAGGGUGUGUGAGGCAGUAAGAGAAGUCAUGUUUGAAAAUUGUUGGGGACUGGAUGAUGACAUGUUUAGUCUUUCCAGCAUUUGCAGGUACGUGAGGUCUCUCUCCUUAGAGGGCUGCUCACUCUUAACCACAAAAGGUUUUGAAUCAGUAGUUUUAUCAUGGAUCGAUUUGAAGAGACUCGAAGUCAUCUCGUGCAAUAAUAUAAAGGACGACGAAGUGUCUCCUACGCUAACAAAUCUUUUCUCAACCCUCAAAGAGUUCAAGUGGCGACCAGACUCCAAAUCAGUCCUUGCGAUGGGCCUCUCAGGGACGGACAUGGGCAAAAAGGGUGGAAGAUUCUUUAAGUAGAUGUAAGCUUAGUUAUCAACAGGGAUAUCCUGCAGCGACAUCAGCGGUGAUAAAACUGGUCGCGAUAGAAUUACUAACAGGGGCAGGGCUUAGAGGAAAGCCAUCACUAACUCAUUAGCAAACAAAGAAACUUUCAUACAAUCAUACUUAAGCAUCCACUGGUUUAUCCUGAUAACUUAAAAUGAUUCACUGCUGUGUUACUCUACACAAAAUGAAAUGGGUAUGUGGAUGUCAAAUGUGAUUUUAAACAUUCCUUUUACAGGGUAAUGGCAGCCGAGAAUUCAUAUGAUCCGGAGUUGCUUUUUAAUUCUCUAUUUAUGCCCUCAAAUUAUGUGCAGCAGGUGCGUGAAUUUGCAUCUCAAACUCUUUUAUCUGUAAUGGCUAAUGACUAAGAAAGUUUUUACCUCGAAUUAAUUUUAA